GUAAGAACCAACAUAUACUAAAACUGGAACCAUCGGAGAGGAUUAGCAUGCCCCUGUGCGAGGUUGGCAAUUAAAUUUGUGAAGUGUUCUACAUUUCA
RNAcentral lists this small nuclear RNA (98 nucleotides) under Microtus ochrogaster (prairie vole). Lineage: Eukaryota; Metazoa; Chordata; Mammalia; Rodentia; Cricetidae. The record is from RNAcentral.